AGAGUUUGAUCCUGGCUCAGAAUGAACGUUGGCGGCGUGGAUUAGGCAUGCAAGUCGAGCGAGAAUCCGCAAGGGGGACAGCGGCAAACGGGGUAGUAACGGGUAGGUGACGUACCCUCGGGUCGAGGAUAGCCACGGGAAACUGUGGGUAAUACUCGAUAAUCUCCUGGAGCGUGAUAGCUUCGGGAGCAAAGGUGUGAUUCCACCUGGGGAGCGGCCUGCUUCGUAUUAGCUAGUUGGUGAGGUAACGGCUCACCAAGGCGACGAUGCGUAGGGGGUGUGAGAGCAUGACCCCCACCACUGGGACUGAGAUACUGCCCAGACACCUACGGGUGGCUGCAGUCGAGAAUCUUCGGCAAUGGGCGCAAGCCUGACCGAGCGACGCCGCGUGUGGGAUGAAGGCCCUUGGGUUGUAAACCACUGUCAGAGGGGAUGAAGUUCAUGAGGGCAAUCUCUCAUGAUUGACAUAGCCUCAGAGGAAGCACGGGCUAAGUUCGUGCCAGCAGCCGCGGUAAUACGAACUGUGCAAACGUUAUUCGGAAUCACUGGGCUUACAGGGUGCGUAGGCGGCUUGUUAAGUAGGGUGUGAAAGCCCCCGGCUCAACCGGGGAAUGGCGCCCUAAACUGGCGAGCUAGAGUGAGAUAGGGGUGUGUGGAACUUCCGGUGGAGCGGUGAAAUGUGUUGAUAUCGGAAGGAACGCCGGUGGCGAAAGCGACACACUGGAUCUUGUCUGACGCUGAGGCACGAAAGCCAGGGGAGCGAACGGGAUUAGAUACCCCGGUAGUCCUGGCUGUAAACG
This 800-nucleotide ribosomal RNA is filed under the name uncultured bacterium. Its description in RNAcentral is "bacterial SSU rRNA". It matches the Rfam family "Bacterial small subunit ribosomal RNA", at positions 8 to 808 of the family's 1533-position model. The record is from RNAcentral.